Molecule: small nuclear RNA, 170 nt
Organism: Camelus dromedarius (Arabian camel)
Lineage: Eukaryota; Metazoa; Chordata; Mammalia; Artiodactyla; Camelidae
Gene: U2
Rfam family: U2 spliceosomal RNA
About the family: U2 is a small nuclear RNA (snRNA) component of the spliceosome (involved in pre-mRNA splicing). Complementary binding between U2 snRNA (in an area lying towards the 5' end but 3' to hairpin I) and the branchpoint sequence (BPS) of the intron results the bulging out of an unpaired adenosine, on the BPS, which initiates a nucleophilic attack at the intronic 5' splice site, thus starting the first of two transesterification reactions that mediate splicing.
Source: Ensembl
AUCGCUUCUCGGCCUUUUGGCUAAGAUCAAGUGUAUUUAACCUUCAAGAGCUGAAGGAACCAAUGACAUAUCAAAUUAUUUCCUGCCCCAUUGGUUGCUACCACUUUCUAAAACAGUGGAGUAAACAUGCUGAAUGUUAAUUCCCAAACUAAUUUCUCAGCUUUUCUAAU